Molecule: non-coding RNA, 103 nt
Organism: Flammula alnicola
Lineage: Eukaryota; Fungi; Basidiomycota; Agaricomycetes; Agaricales; Strophariaceae
Source: the annotation of a GenBank genome assembly
GCCUCCUUGGCUCAGUUGGCUAGAGCGUUGGUCUCAUAUCGCGUAUAUGAGUAACUUAAUUUAUGUAAUCCAGAGGUCGCAAGUUCGAGCCUUGCAGGGGGUA